UCCUCGGUAGUAUAGUGGUGAGUAUCCCCGCCUGUCACGCGGGAGACCGGGGUUCGUUUUCCCGCCGGGGAG
This 72-nucleotide transfer RNA is filed under the name Daphnia pulex (common water flea). It matches the Rfam family "tRNA". From Rfam's summary of the family: Transfer RNA (tRNA) molecules are approximately 80 nucleotides in length. Their secondary structure includes four short double-helical elements and three loops (D, anti-codon, and T loops). Further hydrogen bonds mediate the characteristic L-shaped molecular structure. tRNAs have two regions of fundamental functional importance: the anti-codon, which is responsible for specific mRNA codon recognition, and the 3' end, to which the tRNAs corresponding amino acid is attached (by aminoacyl-tRNA synthetases). tRNAs cope with the degeneracy of the genetic code in two manners: having more than one tRNA (with a specific anti-codon) for a particular amino acid; and 'wobble' base-pairing, i.e. permitting non-standard base-pairing at the 3rd anti-codon position. The record is from Rfam by way of RNAcentral. Lineage: Eukaryota; Metazoa; Arthropoda; Branchiopoda; Diplostraca; Daphniidae.